GCAGGUAUCGUACAGUGGUCAGUACCGCAACCUUUGGGUUGAUGAUAUGGGUUCAAUUCCCUCUACCUGCUCCA
RNAcentral lists this transfer RNA (74 nucleotides) under Escherichia coli. RNAcentral describes it as "tRNA-OTHER". It matches the Rfam family "tRNA". From Rfam's summary of the family: Transfer RNA (tRNA) molecules are approximately 80 nucleotides in length. Their secondary structure includes four short double-helical elements and three loops (D, anti-codon, and T loops). The record is from RNAcentral. Lineage: Bacteria; Pseudomonadati; Pseudomonadota; Gammaproteobacteria; Enterobacterales; Enterobacteriaceae.